UACGUAGGAGGCGAGCGUUGUCCGGAGUUACUGGGCGUAAAGGGUGCGCAGGCGGCCCGUUAAGUGGCGUGUGAAAUCUCCUGGCUCAACUGGGAGGGUGGGCGCCAAACUGGGGGGGCUUGAGGCUCGGAGGGGGGCGUGGAAUUCCGGGUGGAGCGGUGAAAUGCGUAGAGAGUCGGGAGGAACAUCAGUGGCGAAGGCGGCCAUCUGGGACACACUGACGCUGAAGCACGAAAGCGUGGGGAGCAAACAGG
RNAcentral lists this ribosomal RNA (254 nucleotides) under uncultured bacterium. Its description in RNAcentral is "partial 16S ribosomal RNA". It matches the Rfam family "Bacterial small subunit ribosomal RNA", at positions 524 to 776 of the family's 1533-position model. The record is from RNAcentral.